GGAUCUUAUAUCUGGUGUAGUUGGUUAUCACAUGCGCUUAGCAUGCGCGAGGUCCCCGGUUCGAUUCCGGUGUCGUCCA
RNAcentral lists this transfer RNA (79 nucleotides) under Yarrowia lipolytica PO1f. Its description in RNAcentral is "tRNA-Ala (AGC) (tRNA-Ala-AGC-3-1)". Lineage: Eukaryota; Fungi; Ascomycota; Dipodascomycetes; Dipodascales. The record is from RNAcentral.